This 158-nucleotide non-coding RNA is filed under the name pig gut metagenome. The record is from RNAcentral.
GGAGAAUCUUAGAUUUUCUUAAUGUUCUGUAGAAUAUCCAGCAAUGCAGCAACAGGGAUGUUGAUGCAAACAAAAGCCGGGGCAUGGACGCCACGUCUUUUGUGGUUGCUGGAGAAGAAAAGAAUCUGACAGAACAUUUAGAAAAUGUUAGAUUCGUA